AAGUCGUAACAAGGUUUCCGUAGGUGAACCUGCAAGGAUCAUUAACACGUAUCCAACGUUAAAACAACCCACGUGAACUUUUCAGCUUGCUCCUGUAGCCCGUGAAAACAGCAAUCCCUGGUAAAUCAUUGUUGACCAGCUUUUGAGGUAGGGACCUCUGCCGAUACGGUUGAGCGAUUGCAUCUAGUGACCUGGCAUCCCCAAGUAAUCAGUGUCUGAAAGUGUCAUUGAUUAUGUAAGGAUGGCGCAGUCACGAUCGCUGUAGGCCCACACGGCCGGCGACCGGGUCACCGGGCUCUGCCCCUUUACGACAACACAGUACGAAUUGGCCGCGCGUGAACCGAACAACUGUUAACAAUGGAUAUCUUGGUUCUC
Molecule: unclassified non-coding RNA, 375 nt
Filed under: fungal sp.
Lineage: Eukaryota; Fungi
Description: partial internal transcribed spacer region
Source: RNAcentral